UGUAAAAAAAAAAAAGUAAAACACCAAAAUUCUCUUCUCAGUGAGAAUCCUCCGUUCCUGAGUCCCCAGUAAACAAUGGCGGCGCUGACUAAGAAAGAGAAUUUUCGUCAAGAGACAGCCGAGGCACGCUGCUCAGGACCGCGGUCUUCACAGGCUCUCUGUCCCUCUUCAAAAAGACAGAUGUCUUCAUUUUUUUGGAGAGCUUCCUUCUGUUACCAACGUCUGUGCUAAUUUACUGUUAUAAAAAUUGAAAGAGGUUAUAGAAAGAAUAUGGUAAGGUAAACAGUAUACAUAUUUAAUGUGGGAAGAAAAGCUAAACAUCAUCAAAAUUAUCAUCCUAUAAAAACAAGUUUUAAGGUUCUGAUUUUAGUUUAACAAAAGCAUCUACUCUUAACUAACUGGUGACAUAUAUAAAACUUACAGCAGUCCUCAGUUUUAUUUAACUUUAUGCUGAUUCUUUCGUGCUUUCAAUGCUCCUUUCUUUGUUCUCUUCCUCAUUUCUUCCUCACUUCCACCCUCAAAUCAUU
This is a long non-coding RNA of Chinchilla lanigera (long-tailed chinchilla), 527 nucleotides long. The record is from Ensembl. NCBI's taxonomy places the organism in Eukaryota, Metazoa, Chordata, Mammalia, Rodentia, Chinchillidae.